Molecule: ribosomal RNA, 810 nt
Filed under: uncultured Acidobacteriota bacterium
Lineage: Bacteria; Pseudomonadati; Acidobacteriota
Description: bacterial SSU rRNA
Rfam family: Bacterial small subunit ribosomal RNA
Source: RNAcentral
AGAGUUUGAUCCUGGCUCAGAAUCAACGCUGGCGGCGUGCCUCAGACAUGCAAGUCGAACGCGAAAGCCCCCUUCGGGGGGCAAGUAGAGUGGCGCACGGGUGAGUAACACGUAGGUAAUCUACCUUUGGAUGGGGAAUAACAACCGGAAACGGUUGCUAAUACCGCAUAAUGCAGCGGCACCUAAUGGUGACAGUUGUUAAAGCGGGGGAUCGCAAGACCUCGCGUCUGAAGAGGAGCCUGCGGCGGAUUAGCUAGUUGGUAAGGUAACGGCUUACCAAGGCGAUGAUCCGUAGCCGGCCUGAGAGGGCGGUCGGCCACACUGACACUGACAUACGGGUCAGACUCCUACGGGAGGCAGCAGUCGGGAAUUUUGGGCAAUGGGCGAAAGCCUGACCCAGCAACGCCGCGUGAAGGAUGAAAUCCCUCGGGAUGUAAACUUCGCAAGAACGGGAAGAAUAAGUCUGUGUAAAUAUCACAGAUGAUGACGGUACCGUUUGUAAGCUCCGGCUAACUCCGUGCCAGCAGCCGCGGUAAUACGGGGGGAGCAAGCGUUGUUCGGAUUUACUGGGCGUAAAGGGCGCGUAGGCGGCCACCGCAAGUCAAUUGUGAAAUCUCCGGGCUUAACUCGGAAAGGUCAACUGAUACUGCGGGGCUAGAGUGCGGAAGGGGCAACUGGAAUUCUCGGUGUAGCGGUGAAAUGCGUAGAUAUCGAGAGGAACACCUGCGGCGAAGGCGGGUUGCUGGGCCGACACUGACGCUGAGGCGCGAAAGCCAGGGGAGCGAACGGGAUUAGAUACCCCCGUAGUCC